CGGGCUGUGGCGCAGUUGGUUAGCGCACAUGACUGGGGGUCAUGGGGUCGCCAGUUCAAGUCUGGCCAGCCCGA
Molecule: non-coding RNA, 74 nt
Organism: Spirochaetes bacterium DG_61
Lineage: Bacteria; Pseudomonadati; Spirochaetota
Source: Rfam